CCUGAGCCGGGGAAGGCAGGGUUUCCUCCGCGCUGCCUCUGGGUGGUAACCUCGCCCCGAACCCCGGCAGCGUUAGAUCCGCGUAACCGGGGACUCGUUCCCGCCGCGAUGCAGUGGGUGUGUCCACACUUCCGACGGCACCUUUAUUUUAAACGCUGUGAUGUUUGAAGGCCUUAUCUUGGGACCACAGAUUGCAUUACUGUCGCUGGGUAUGGCCAACUAAUUCAAUUCUGGAUACUGGGAUUAAGUGGCAGUUACAUAUGACUACUCUGCACUUUCACCAGAGAGAAAAAUAAACCACUACUACCCCCUACCCGGCUCCUAACUGCUUCUCAUUGGAUAAAAAGCUUUUGGGGACCAACUGCAUUCCUUGGCUCAUAGCCCCUUCCAGUGCCUUCAGAGCCAGCAAGGUGGGCGGAGUCCGUCCCUGCUGCCACCUCUAGCUCUGUGCAGCAAGAGCAAGAAAAGUUUCUCUACUUUCGAAGACGCGGGUGAUCCAUUUGCAUCCACCUAGAUAAUCCAGAAUAAUCUCCCCGUUUCUAGGUCCUUAAAUGUAAUCACAUCUGCAUUGUAAUCACAGGCCCUUUUGCCGUGCGAGGUAGCAUCGGGCGCUGAGGAUUAGGGCACAGCCGUCUUCAGAGGUCAUCGUGCUGCGGCCAGAUCUCCACGCACAUUCGUUUGCUGAUCAUUUGUACCCUCGCCUCCUCGCUUUGUGCUGCUAUCACGGAGAUUCUGUCUCCUUUCAUCACUCCCUCCUCCAGGAAUUUCAGUUACUCUCACGCAUUUGACAUCCAUUUAAUGGGGAUGAUUUUUUUUUUAUUGCUGACACACAAUGAAUUGAGCAUUUUAGGUUUUAAUUACAAUGAUCAAUGUGAAGUCAAUAAUCUGCUGUUACUUAUUUCCAUUUAUAUGGUAUAUAAAUUAGUUAUUAGUUCCGUCGUUUUCUUUUUUUAAACAUAUC
Non-coding RNA from Miniopterus natalensis, 961 nucleotides. The record is from RefSeq and is a predicted model, not a curated record. Lineage: Eukaryota; Metazoa; Chordata; Mammalia; Chiroptera; Miniopteridae.